RNAcentral lists this ribosomal RNA (468 nucleotides) under uncultured bacterium. RNAcentral describes it as "partial 16S ribosomal RNA". It matches the Rfam family "Bacterial small subunit ribosomal RNA", at positions 28 to 507 of the family's 1533-position model. The record is from RNAcentral.
GAUGAACGCUGGCGGCGUGCUUAACACAUGCAAGUCGAACGGAAAGGCCAGUGCUUGCACUGGUACUCGAGUGGCGAACGGGUGAGUAACACGUGGGUGAUCUGCCCUGCACUUCGGGAUAAGCCUGGGAAACUGGGUCUAAUACCGGAUAGGACAAUGGUUUGGAUGCCGUUGUGGAAAGUUUUUUCGGUGUGGGAUGAGCUCGCGGCCUAUCAGCUUGUUGGUGGGGUAAUGGCCUACCAAGGCGUCGACGGGCAGCCGGCCUGAGAGGGUGUACGGCCACAUUGGGACUGAGAUACGGCCCAGACUCCUACGGGAGGCAGCAGUGGGGAAUAUUGCACAAUGGGCGCAAGCCUGAUGCAGCGACGCCGCGUGGGGGAUGACGGCCUUCGGGUUGUAAACUCCUUUCGCUAGGGACGAAGCGUAUUUGUGACGGUACCUGGAGAAGAAGCACCGGCUAACUACGUG